Micropterus salmoides (largemouth bass) is the source of this 699-nucleotide long non-coding RNA. RefSeq lists it as uncharacterized. The record is from RefSeq and is a predicted model, not a curated record. NCBI's taxonomy places the organism in Eukaryota, Metazoa, Chordata, Actinopteri, Centrarchiformes, Centrarchidae. The transcript is spliced from 4 exons.
GCUUGAUAAAACAACUUUUUCAAACCACGUGGUCAUCAUCAGCCGGUGACGUUUUGUGUUGGCCUUGAUGAUUGUUUUGUCACGUAAGGUCAAGAGUGAACCUUCGCUUUGGCCGAUUAACUAUUGAUUAUCUAAAGACUGGGUGUGAAAUUAAUGGUUCCCAUUUAUAAGUUUAGGUGUAAAGUAUAUUUAGGUUAUGUGACCUGUGUUUCGAUGUGUGUUGGGGUUAGUUAAAGGAAAAGUUUGGUUUGUUGUAAACUUGCGAGGACGUGUCAUCUGACCUCUGUUGACCAAAGGGAGAUAAAUCAAACGCACCCCCUGUGAAUCAGACACAGGUGUGUUAAUCGCUCUCCUCCUCGUGCUCGGUUUGACCCUGACACGUGGAGUCGUGUGUUUUGACCUCAUGGGAGACACUAUUUACAUUCUGAUAAUAUAGAUCUCAACAGUUCCGUUAAAGCGGCUUCUUCACACAGUUCGAUGAGAUCUGAACCUGCAGCUGAAGGCAUUGUUACUGAAAUUGUGCAAAUAAUUGGCUCCUGCACUAAACAGUCUCCUGCAGGUCUCCAUCUGGACGUCCAGCCCUCUUUUCAUCGAACACAUCUCCAUAUAUUCGUGCAGGUGACGGUUCAUGUCACUCUUAGCUGUAGCCAGUUCCAACUGACAAGCACAAAAAAAUAAAUAAAAUAUAUAUAAAACCCA